AUUUACAUAGAUUAUAAAAAGAUCGUAACACUGAAGAUGUUAAAGAGGUUAAACUAAACCUGUAAAUG
This 68-nucleotide transfer RNA is filed under the name Neogonodactylus oerstedii. Its description in RNAcentral is "tRNA-Phe". The record is from RNAcentral. Lineage: Eukaryota; Metazoa; Arthropoda; Malacostraca; Stomatopoda; Gonodactylidae.